AAGUCGUAACAAGGUUUCCGUAGCGGUCGUUCCACAAACGUCCCUCGAGUCUAUGGAGUAACAGCAAUGUUCCUUCCGCAGAGUACACUUGCAGAAGCCUUAGCUGGCCCGAAAGGGCUCUCACCCAGCGACUGUAAACAAUUGAGUGUUUAAAAGCUAGUCUCUCCUUGGAGAGGCGACACUAUCAAAUUGCGGGGAAAUCCUGUUAAGUCUUCACUACCGCGGCUCUCCGAAAGGCAGAGUGCAGCACCAGGGUAAUGACCUCGGGGAUGG
RNAcentral lists this unclassified non-coding RNA (273 nucleotides) under Protodontia sp. RNAcentral's name for it is "partial contains internal transcribed spacer 1". The record is from RNAcentral. Lineage: Eukaryota; Fungi; Basidiomycota; Agaricomycetes; Auriculariales; Hyaloriaceae.